GGAUGGGAGGGUGAUCUGGUGCAACAUCUGUUACCCCAUUGAUCACCAGGGUUGAUUCGGCUGAUCUGGCUGGCUAGGCAGGUGUCUUCUUCCUCACCUCCAUGUCCUUCCCUAAGCUAUGCACUUGGUCAAAGAGGAUGACUUCCCCAAUGGAGGAGGACCAUUCUUUGGUCAAGUGUAUACAAGUAGCUGCACUCCCCUGCUAGAAUCUCCAAACAAGCUCUCAAGGGCCAAAGUAUCUUCCAUAAAACACUAGUCCAUAGAAAUUUUAUUGAAAACAGAAGCCAAUUU
Marmota marmota marmota (Alpine marmot) is the source of this 291-nucleotide unclassified non-coding RNA. Its record names the gene 7SK. It matches the Rfam family "7SK RNA". Rfam says of the family: 7SK was discovered as an abundant small nuclear RNA in the mid-70s but a possible function has only recently been suggested. Two independent studies have found that 7SK RNA binds the CDK9/cyclin T complex (known as elongation factor P-TEFb). P-TEFb activates transcription by phosphorylating the C-terminal domain of RNA polymerase II. NCBI's taxonomy places the organism in Eukaryota, Metazoa, Chordata, Mammalia, Rodentia, Sciuridae. The record is from Ensembl.